UCGUAACAUUUUAUUAUGUAAAUAGGGGUGUCACAAUUUGGUAUCAGAGCGGGUUCCGUCCCGGCUCCGACCCGGGAUGGCGAUUUUUGGAGACCUGGUUUUAUUCGGUUUUGACGGUUUUAAACGAUUUCAAAAUAUUUUCGGGGAUUUGGGAAUUUUGAAAAUAAAAAUAAAUAGCACCUUUCCGUUCGAUAUCACUUCUCCUUAAAUGUUGGUAUCCAAAGUUCAGCGUAAGUUAACUUUUCGCUUUCCUUUUAGAUGCCGCCAAGGAGAAGAACCACCCGUGCCCAGACCGCCAGAGCCGUUAGAGACAAUGUAGAUGAGCAUGAGCAGCCCGCAGUUCCACCACCCGCGGCUCCACCAGUUGAUCAGGAUGCAUUGAGACAGAUGGUUCAGGAUGCCGCUAGACAGGCCGCUCAGGAGGCACUUCAGCAGAUUGCCCAGGAGGCAGCCAGGCAGGCCGCUCAGGAGGCCGCCCGCCGAGUAGCUGCUCAGGAGGUUGCUCGUCAGAUGGCUGCCGUUCAGCAGGGUCCUCAGGUUCAGGUGCAGCAGGGUCCGCAGAUUCGGGUUCAGCAAGUUCCACUGGUUCAGGUCCAACAGGAUCAGCAGGGUCCAGUUCAGCAGUUUGCUCAUGGUGUUCAGGAUCUACCGCCACCACCACCGCGACCUCAUGUUUACCCGGUUUAUGAUGAGAGGUUCUACAGGCUGACAUGUCAGAUGAGAAACAUGGAGAUGGAGCAUUUUAGCGGAACAGUGGAUGCUGUAGCUGCACAUGAUUGGAAGUUAGCCUUGCAGCGGAAGCUGGAGAUUAUUGAGUGUCCACCAGAGUUGUCGCUCAGAUUGACUAUGCAGUACCUUCGUGGAGAUGCUCUUAUAUGGUGGGAGGGAAUACGAUUGAGUCACUUUGGGCCAGAGAGGCUUACCUUCGCAGACUUCAUCCGAGAGUUCGAUAGGAAAUACUUUCCGAAGGAAGCUAUGGAUAGGAAGAAAUGCGAGUUCGAGCAUGUAAGUCAGGGUAAGAUGUCUAUCAGGGAGUAUGAGGUUGUGUUUAACCAACUUCGCAGGUUUGCUGGAGAGGGCAUUUUAGAGGAAGACCUGAUGAGGAAAUUUUUGAAUGGGAUGCGAGUAGAGAUUCGUAACAGGUGCCGUGUCGCCACUUAUCACAGAUUGGGAGACUUGGUGGAGAAAGCUGCCGAGCAGGAGGCAGGUUUGGCAGAGGAGCAGAAGUACACCAAGGCAGAUCAGCCUAAGUUUGGAGGGACUUUAGAGGCACAGCAGAGGACAUGGGACAAACCGAGCAUACAAUGCUUUUAUUGUGGAAAGAUGGGACAUAAGAGUAGGGUUUGUCGGAGUAGGCUAUUUGAUGCCCAGGUUGCGCCACCAGCAGCGGCAGCAGCACCAGUAGUGGAUGUUAGGAACUGUUUUGGUUGUAACCAGCCUGGUCACAUUUUCAGAGACUGUCCGAGGAGGGGUAAUGCAGCGCUUCCACCACCACCGAAGCGUUUAGCCAUCGCUCCACGUGUGUUUACGGUUGGAGAUCCCCAGGGAGCUGAGCCGAUAGCGGGUAUGUUCUUAUCAUACUUGCUUGUGUUAAUAUUUGUGGUUUUGUGGUUAUCUUGUAUAGUUCGAGAUUUGUGAAUCUCGUGUAUGAUUGGUUGUGGUUGGUGUGAGUUACCUCACAGCUUAUUUGACUUAAGAGCUUUUCAUAGUUUUGUGAGUUCGCGUUUGGUUAAGUUUUAGUCUUUUUAGAGGGAUCUUCUAACCGAAAGAUAAGCAGAUUUAGAUUGUUGUUAUGGAGAGCUUGUUGUUAUGGAGAGUUUGAGAGCGAUCAGGAAUUCAUCGUGAUGUACCUGUUAUCAUUUGAGUAUUAUGAUGGCACCGUCGAAGUUUUAUGGUGGGUCUGGUCGUACACCACUUUGUUGGACCAAAGUGGGGGAGCAAUAUGAGUUAGAACUAUUAAUGGUUCAAGAGACGGUAGAGCAAAGGAUAUGCUCAAGGAUUGGCUUUCGGAAGCCCAUGACGUCAGAGGAUUUAUGCAGCUAAGCACCGUAAGGAUUUAGAGCUACAUAUGGGCAUACCUUAAAAUAAGGACAUUUCAGGAGGAGCCUAAGACUCAGAAGAUAAAGGAGCUUAAACCGAGAUACAUGGAAUUGUAUCCUGCACUGGAGUGGAUUGGAUUAGUUGCUUGCAGUUACUUUAUCAGCAGUAUAUCAGCCUUCUAGGACUUGGUUCAUAUGACAGCAUUGCAAAAGUUGAGAAGGCGCUAUAAUUAUUUUGCAGUUGACGUCAAGUGAGUUCAUAAAGAUUUUAUGGACCUUAUCAUCUAUUAAAGAUUUUGGAUCAUCAAGAGAAAACAGUUCGGGGAAUAUCGACUGUGUUUGUCCGAGUUCGUUGGGGAGGGAGAUAAGACUCAGGAGGAGACCUGAAAGGCCGAGCGAAGAUUAGUAUUCGAGGUUUUGCUAUGAUGACAUUGGGCACGUCAACUUAUGACAUGAAUUCGGGGACGAAUUCCUUAUAAGUGGGGGAGAAUUGUAAUGACCCACCACUCCCACCAUCUCCACUUCUUUCUCCAACCCCACCACUUCCACCUUCUCUUCCACCAUCUCCACCUUCUUCCCCACCAUCUCCAACUUCUAUAAAACUUAAGAAAGAGAGAGAGAGAGAGAGAGAGAGAGAGAGAAGAAGAAGAAGAAGAAGAGAGAAAUCUCACAUGAGCUCGUCGCCGGAGCCACCACACGCCAGGACGUCGUCAAGCUCGUCACCACCAUCAUCCGCAACCAAAGAUUUGGAGUCCAUUUGAGCAGCUGGAGGUCAUAUAUACCACUUCUCUUCAUUGCUAAGGUGAGACCGACGAGCAGGAGUGAUUAUACCGGACCGGUGCUUUUGGGCUUUUACUACUAUUGGGCUUUUGGGCUUCUAUCGUUUUAUCGCUUUUAUCGUUAUCGGGCCUCUAGGCCUUUGGGCUUUUAUCGUUUAUGUUAUUUCGUAUUUCGGACUCUCGGUUUAUGUCGUACUUUAUGUUUCAGAUUUAUUUUAUAUUAUGGAAUUCAAGCGUGGAUGUUGAUUUUCAAAUAUUUAUAUAUGGAUAUUUCAGAUA
Molecule: RNA transcript, 3097 nt
Organism: Brassica napus (rape)
Lineage: Eukaryota; Viridiplantae; Streptophyta; Magnoliopsida; Brassicales; Brassicaceae
Exons: 3
Source: RefSeq, a predicted model, not a curated record